Long non-coding RNA from Corapipo altera (White-ruffed manakin), 819 nucleotides. RefSeq lists it as uncharacterized. The transcript has 3 exons. The record is from RefSeq and is a predicted model, not a curated record. Lineage: Eukaryota; Metazoa; Chordata; Aves; Passeriformes; Pipridae.
GCCAAAAGGUCAGUUCUUGUUGUCUCUUUUGCACUUUAAUUCUAGUACACUGAUACUUGCUAACCACUUAUAACCCUAGAUGCAGAAUGAGAACUUGGGUUAUUAACAAUAAACAAGUCAACAGCAGAAAGACUUGACCUUUCUUUUGAAUUGCCCUACAGUGUUAAAAAAUACCAAACAAACCUCCUUCCCCAAAGAAACACCCCCCAAAAUACCCCAACAACUCACCAAACAGAAAAUCACCGACAACCAAAAAGCGGAAGUAACAAACGUGAACAGCAAGUGGAGGAAGAGUUUGAAAGCGGGAUGGACAGAAGCACAAGUGUUACUGCCCACUCUUAGGCCACUGUGCUGAUUCAAUGGGUGUUGUUAGGUUUAGAUUAGUAGUUUGUUGUUGUUGGGUUUUUCGGUGGUGUUGAUUUUUUUGUUGUCGUUGUGGGGGAUUGUUCGUUUGUUUGGUUUUAUUUUGUUUUUUUUUCUGGAUUAAAAAUCUGGCUCAGUUACUCUCUAGUUCUGGUGUGUUUUCUUUUCCAGGUGGUUGGUGUUCCUGCAGUGUUUGGCACAGGACCGGGUGAGUUUUUUACCCAGCUUUCUAAAGCUGUAGAUGAAUAGGAGAGAGAGUAUCGUCCAGAAUACGAGCGCCUGAGAAAAACACCGAAUCCACAUGUAAAUCUUUAUCUACGGGAGAAAGCUCAAAAUAAACAAAAGAGAGAGCAGCUGGAACACUUGUGGAAGGACAUGGGCAGCGUGUGUGUGCAGGGCAGCACACUGGCAGGUACCUCCCCGGGAGGAUAAAGUUUACUGCAGAAGUUUUCUGAA